Molecule: ribosomal RNA, 497 nt
Filed under: uncultured bacterium
Lineage: Bacteria
Description: partial 16S ribosomal RNA
Rfam family: Bacterial small subunit ribosomal RNA
Source: RNAcentral
GAUGAACGCUGGCGGCGUGCCUAAUACAUGCAAGUCGAGCGAACGGACGAGAAGCUUGCUUCUCUGAUGUUAGCGGCGGACGGGUGAGCAACACGUGGAUAACCUACCUAUAAGACUGGGAUAACUUCGGGAAACCGGAGCUAAUACCGGAUAAUAUUUUGAACCGCAUGGUUCAAAAGUAAAAGACGGUCUUGCUGUCACUUAUAGAUGGAUCCGCGCUGCAUUAGCUAGUUGGUAAGGUAACGGCUUACCAAGGCAACGAUGCAUAGCCGACCUGAGAGGGUGAUCGGCCACACUGGAACUGAGACACGGUCCAGACUCCUACGGGAGGCAGCAGUAGGGAAUCUUCCGCAAUGGGCGAAAGCCUGACGGAGCAACGCCGCGUGAGUGAUGAAGGUCUUCGGAUCGUAAAACUCUGUUAUUAGGGAAGAACAUAUGUGUAAGUAACUGUGCACAUCUUGACGGUACCUAAUCAGAAAGCCACGGCUAACUACGUG